RNAcentral lists this ribosomal RNA (433 nucleotides) under uncultured bacterium. RNAcentral's name for it is "partial 16S ribosomal RNA". It matches the Rfam family "Bacterial small subunit ribosomal RNA", at positions 29 to 507 of the family's 1533-position model. The record is from RNAcentral.
AACGAACGCUGGCGGCAUGCCUAACACAUGCAAGUCGAACGAGACCUUCGGGUCCAGUGGCGCACGGGCGCGUAACGCGUGGGAACCUGCCCUUAGGUUCGGAAUAACUCCCCGAAAGGGGUGCUAAUACCGGAUAAUGUCUUCGGACCAAAGAUUUAUCGCCUUUGGAUGGGCCCGCGUUGGAUUAGCUAGUUGGUAGGGUAAAAGCCUACCAAGGCGACGAUCCAUAGCUGGUCUGAGAGGAUGAUCAGCCACACUGGGACUGAGACACGGCCCAGACUCCUACGGGAGGCAGCAGUGGGGAAUAUUGGACAAUGGGCGAAAGCCUGAUCCAGCAAUGCCGCGUGAGUGAUGAAGGCCUUAGGGUUGUAAAGCUCUUUUACCCGGGAUGAUAAUGACAGUACCGGGAGAAUAAGCUCCGGCUAACUCCGUG